AACGCAUAUUGCGCCCUCUAGUAUUCUAGGAGGCAUGCCUGUUCGAGCGUCAUUUCAACUCUUAGGCCUAGCCUAGUGUUGGGGCCUUAUAGCGCAUAAGCCCUGAAUUACAGUGGCGGUCCCUCUGAUGGCCGAGCGUAGUAAUCUUUCUCGCUACGGAAACAUUGCGGGGUACCAGCCGUAAAACGAGCCACCUCUAACAGUUGACCUCGGAUCAGGUAGGAAUACCCGCUGAACUUAA
Molecule: unclassified non-coding RNA, 241 nt
Filed under: uncultured fungus
Lineage: Eukaryota; Fungi
Description: partial contains 5.8S ribosomal RNA, internal transcribed spacer 2, and large subunit ribosomal RNA
Source: RNAcentral